GUGGGUAUAGCUCAGUGGUAGAGUGCAUGCUUAGCAUGCAUGAGGUCCUGGGUUCAAUCCCCAGUGCCUCCA
RNAcentral lists this transfer RNA (72 nucleotides) under Camelus dromedarius (Arabian camel). It matches the Rfam family "tRNA". From Rfam's summary of the family: Transfer RNA (tRNA) molecules are approximately 80 nucleotides in length. Their secondary structure includes four short double-helical elements and three loops (D, anti-codon, and T loops). Lineage: Eukaryota; Metazoa; Chordata; Mammalia; Artiodactyla; Camelidae. RNAcentral also lists the same sequence under 1 other name. The record is from Rfam by way of RNAcentral.